RNAcentral lists this long non-coding RNA (525 nucleotides) under Prunus dulcis (almond). RNAcentral's name for it is "sRNA ncRNA". Lineage: Eukaryota; Viridiplantae; Streptophyta; Magnoliopsida; Rosales; Rosaceae. The record is from RNAcentral.
CCACUACUUUUCUUCCUUACAUCAACAUAAUGGUUAGUAGUAUAGAUAAUAGUGCAACACAAAAAUUAUACCUGAGAGCUUCUCGUGCUGAUAACGUGUUAUAAAAUGAACGGGGAUAUGAGCGAAUAUUGAGCUGCACGUAAAGUAGAUGAGACACAGCAUUUAACGAGGUUCGGCUAUGCCUACGUCCUCGGAGAGCAGCAACAGUAACCUUUCAUUCAUAACAUAAUAUGGUUACAACUCUAGUGUUUACAAUAUGUAUGCUCACCUAAUUUUCUCUCUAGGAGAAUUUCUCUUUGCUCUCUUUCUCUUCACACACUCACCCUCUUUCUUCCUUCCCUUCAUCUUCUCUCAUUUCAUCUCACAUUACAAGCAAAUAGAAUGCCUAUUUAUAGGCAAAGCAAAUGGCUUGGUUUGGUGGGUGUGUGAUUUGGUUUGGUGGGUGUGUGAUUUGGUUUGGUGGGUGUGUGAUUUGGUUUGGUAGGUAUGUGGUUUGGUUUGAUGGGUGUGUGGUUUGAUUUGGUG